AUAUGAAAUCAGUUAUGUAAAUUGUGAAAUAUAAUCCUGAUCCUGUCUGUUCAACUACUACAGAUAUCUAAAAUUACACUUUUGGCAAUGUUGGAUAACCACACUGAUGGAAUUCAAAGAAGCUGGGAAUUUCCUGAAGAAAAGUAGCUUCAUCCGUUCAAUUAGAGCUACAUUAAAAAGCCACAUGAAGCCCAAGAUAUGGGACAUCUGAAAUUUGUCACGUCAUUUUCCCCACCACCAACGCCCGGGCACAGCCUCAUUUGUCUUGGUCUGUGAAGCUCAAGGAGGCAAGGCACUCUGGCUUCAGCUUUAAAAGUCUUAUAUGUUGAUGUGUAUCCCAUGACUUCUAAAGAUAAAGUGCUUUUUCACUGGCAUUACUCACUUGUGUCAGAGGCUUUCUGGUAAAUUCUUCAGGCCCUCACCUUGCGGGAAAAGACAUCAGUUUGCCACUUCCUAUGAAAUGGGCUGUCCGUAAUGCUGUGUUGUAAUCUGAUUCUCGGGAGGCCCUGAUGGAUGACAGUCGUGGACCAGGUUCGAUGACAGUGCCCAGAGGCGGACCCUGAAGAGAUGCUCCAAAAGUUAAGCCUUGCUUUCAUUUGGCUGUAAUGUCAGUUCAGUAGACAAGUAGUAUCUGACUCCAAAUCACCAUUUUUCAAAUUGUCUAGGUGUUUAAUCCAAAAGUGCAAAACAGUUUCUAGUCGCCUGAAGGUACGGAGUGGUUAGGCAGGAUUCUUGCACCUAAGAAACUUCUUGUCUAAUAGGUAAAACAUGAAGGAGAGCCUUGUCGUGAUUAAACCGUUCAGGAAUGUUCACUGAAUCAACCAGAGAUGGUGCUGGGGUUUGCAGAAUGAUCAUAAAGGCAAGUGAAAAGAAACCGCGCUAACAGCAUUAAUGGAGCAUCCGUCGGACCAUUUGAGGUAGAUCGGUGGUCUUCCAACUUUUUUGCAUGCUUCCUCCUUAAGAGAAUUUUUUAAGGUGGUAUAUUUCCUCUUGUUUCUGCUGCCAGUGUGGAACAGUCCAGAGAAUUUGCCACUGAGGGGUGGCUACACAAGCAGUUUGCAACGCUGAUUCAUGAGAAUCUUCGGAUGUGAAAGAAAACCAUAGUCGAUUUAUUACAGUGCAAGGAAACUCGGGUGUGUUUCUUUACACUCUGGGAUAA
Molecule: long non-coding RNA, 1159 nt
Filed under: Canis lupus familiaris (dog)
Lineage: Eukaryota; Metazoa; Chordata; Mammalia; Carnivora; Canidae
Description: lncRNA (ENSCAFG00000036487.3)
Source: RNAcentral